RNAcentral lists this ribosomal RNA (404 nucleotides) under Bacillota bacterium. RNAcentral's name for it is "Firmicutes bacterium partial 16S ribosomal RNA". It matches the Rfam family "Bacterial small subunit ribosomal RNA", at positions 355 to 776 of the family's 1533-position model. Lineage: Bacteria; Bacillati; Bacillota. The record is from RNAcentral.
UGGGGAAUCUUGCGCAAUGGGCGAAAGCCUGACGCAGCCAUGCCGCGUGAAUGAUGAAGGUCUUAGGAUUGUAAAAUUCUUUCACCGGGGACGAUAAUGACGGUACCCGGAGAAGAAGCCCCGGCUAACUUCGUGCCAGCAGCCGCGGUAAUACGAAGGGGGCUAGCGUUGCUCGGAAUUACUGGGCGUAAGGGGCGCGUAGGCGGAUCGUUAAGUCAGAGGUGAAAUCCCAGGGCUCAACCCUGGAACUGCCUUUGAUACUGGCGAUCUUGAGUAUGAGAGAGGUAUGUGGAACUCCGAGUGUAGAGGUGAAAUUCGUAGAUAUUCGGAAGAACACCAGUGGCGAAGGCGACAUACUGGCUCAUUACUGACGCUGAGGCGCGAAAGCGUGGGGAGCAAACAGG